CGUUGCACACGAGCACGUUGAAAACGGAAGUGACUAACAACAGAAAUUGACAAAUGAGCAGAGAGACUGCGGUCAAGUGAGCCGUUGUUUGCGAUACUCCAAGCCAGCCACCACUUAAGAUUGUUUUCUUCUCUAUUUCAGAUGUGAUGCUAUACAGGUGCUUGGAGCUCCCAAAAAGGAAGAACGCAAUGGUCACUCGGCCUGAUAGGAAGGGAGAGCACCAGGAAGACAGCACCACUCAUCAAGACAAGGGAGAACCAAGCUAUAAUCAAACAUUGACCUCCGGCAGAAAACAGAAAAAGUGUGCCAAAGCAAAAGAAACAUAAUCAUAGCAAGGAAGCAAGGAAUCUGAUAAAUAUACAUCUGAAGUAAAGCCUUUAAUCAUACGAGGAGAAAGGGACAAAGGGAAUCUAUGUGGACGAAAAAUUAGAGUGGAAAAAAGCCGAGUACAGACAGAGUGGGAGAGGUGGACCGAGAGGGGCGGCAGAAGGCAGGAUGGAGUAGAUGAAGAGGUGUGGGGAGGAGGUAUUUUUAACAUGUUCUAAUCAAAGCCAGCACAUCAAAUGUGCCCUCUCAGUUAAUCAGAAUGGAGAAAUACAGAAAAAAAGAGAGAAAAGCUGGUCUCUGAGGCCAGAACACAGCCAGACUCAAAUAUAUUCUGGGGAUUUGGUGCGUACAGCAUACGGAAAUGAGGACAGAAUUCACUAAAUUCUCCUCCUUGCUUAAAUCUUUUCCACAUGAAAGGGUCGUCCUGUAGACUCGAGGGUUUAAUAAGAUGUGUGGGGGGUUGUCUUCAGCCAGCUCACUGGGCUGAGGGGGGUUGAGCAAGAACCGGAGGGGAUGAGUUGUGUCUGAGGGCAAGAGGAGGGUGGACUCAGAGAGGAUAAAAUCGCUCUCCUUCAUGUUUGCUCACAUUUUGGGAACGUUCUGCGGACAUGCAGCUUGAAAGGCUUUAACUCUUCACUCUAUAAUCCGGGAGGUAGAACUGUCCUAUAUGUCAUCUCCAUAAUGAAUCCCAGCAGAUUAGCAGAGACAAUUAUUCUAAUCUAGAGAACACUCAACUAUACCUGGUCCUCUUUUCAUUCACCAAUCAGCUAAAAAAAGUGAAACUAGAAAUACAGCCCUGAGCUUGUAUCCCUCUGCCGACCGGUGCAGUAUCAGUUCCUACAUGUGUUUCUGACAUUAAACAUUAACAAUAAUAUGAA
This is a long non-coding RNA of Pleuronectes platessa (European plaice), 1205 nucleotides long. RefSeq lists it as uncharacterized. The record is from RefSeq and is a predicted model, not a curated record. The transcript has 2 exons. Lineage: Eukaryota; Metazoa; Chordata; Actinopteri; Pleuronectiformes; Pleuronectidae.